Molecule: ribosomal RNA, 253 nt
Filed under: uncultured bacterium
Lineage: Bacteria
Description: partial 16S ribosomal RNA
Rfam family: Bacterial small subunit ribosomal RNA
Source: RNAcentral
UACGGAGGGGGCUAGCGUUGUUCGGAAUUACUGGGCGUAAAGCGCACGUAGGCGGCUUUGUAAGUUAGAGGUGAAAGCCCGGGGCUCAACUCCGGAAUUGCCUUUAAGACUGCAUCGCUAGAACGUCGGAGAGGUAAGUGGAAUUCCGAGUGUAGAGGUGAAAUUCGUAGAUAUUCGGAAGAACACCAGUGGCGAAGGCGACUUACUGGACGACUGUUGACGCUGAGGUGCGAAAGCGUGGGGAGCAAGCAGG